GCUCAUCUGAGAUAGCUCAGCUGGUAGAGCAGGAGAUGCUUAGUCAUGGGUUCGAGUCCCACAUUGGGCA
Molecule: non-coding RNA, 70 nt
Organism: Podarcis lilfordi (Lilford's wall lizard)
Lineage: Eukaryota; Metazoa; Chordata; Lepidosauria; Squamata; Lacertidae
Source: the annotation of a GenBank genome assembly